GUCUGCGGCCAUGCUACCUCGGACAUACCCACUCUCAUCUGAUCCCAGAAGCUAAGCAGUGUUAGGCCUGGCUAGGACUUGGAUGGAGAAUGUUCUCUAGGAUCUGGAGUGA
Molecule: ribosomal RNA, 112 nt
Filed under: Mus pahari (shrew mouse)
Lineage: Eukaryota; Metazoa; Chordata; Mammalia; Rodentia; Muridae
Description: rRNA (MGP_PahariEiJ_G0032652.1)
Source: RNAcentral